Molecule: unclassified non-coding RNA, 469 nt
Filed under: Bombus terrestris (buff-tailed bumblebee)
Lineage: Eukaryota; Metazoa; Arthropoda; Insecta; Hymenoptera; Apidae
Description: misc RNA ENSBTSG00005033562.1
Source: RNAcentral
ACGCAGACACACCCACGUGUUGGCCACCCUUAACGUUUCGUUCGAGAAAGAAGUGAGAAGUGGUGAGGGUCUAUUGACAUUGGGUAUCGUACUACGUAUACGCCGAGCAAAAAGAAAGAAACAGGAGGGAGAGAGUGUACGAAAAUACGGUUGCCGUUUACAAAGAAAAUCUUUCCACGAAAAUGCUAUUGUAAGAUUUUCGAACGAACCUUUGAAUCCUGUAUACGCUGGAAAAAGAAGGAAAGAAGCGAAGAAACGACGAAGAUGCUGUAAGAGGUAUAUACGUAUCGAGUAGAUAAAAAUAUCGAGGGCAGAAGGUCGGAGAAUUGGUAAGAUACAAUUUUAUUACGUAUUAAGAAAAGCUAGGAUUAAUCUUUAAUUUUUAAAUAAAUUAAUCUGCUACGUAAACUAAUUUAUAGUUGCUGGAAGAUAUAAUUACCGAUUGGUGAAUAAAUAAAUUUCAAGAAGC